RNAcentral lists this small RNA (567 nucleotides) under Pan troglodytes (chimpanzee). RNAcentral's name for it is "processed transcript". Lineage: Eukaryota; Metazoa; Chordata; Mammalia; Primates; Hominidae. The record is from RNAcentral.
AGAGUCUAUGCCUGUCGUGGAAGCUGGCCUGGCCCCCGGAGCUUCCUGGAGUCGGUACUGGGGGCUUCGUUUUGUACGCACCGUUUUCUCUCUGUGCUAUGGGAGAUGUCAAGGAAUCAAAGAUGCAAAUAACACCAGAAACUCCAGGAAGGAUCCCUGUUUUAAAUCCUUUUGAAAGUCCUAGUGAUUAUUCUAAUCUCCAUGAACAAACUCUCGCCAGUCCUUCUGUUUUUAAAUCAACAAAAUUACCAAAUAGAUAAAGAUGUGGAAGACAAAAGACAAAAAGCCAUUGAAGAGUUUUUCACUAAAGAUGUCAUCGUACCCUCUCCUUGGACUGAUCAUGAAGGGAAACAGCUUUCACAAUAUCAUUCCAGUAAAUGCACUAACAUAAAUAGUGACUCUCCAGUUGGAAAAAAGCUGACCAUACAUUCUGAGAAAAGCGAUGCUGCUUGUCAGACAUUGCUGUCUCUUCCUGUGGAUUUUAAUUUAGAAAAUAUAUUAGGUGACUAUUUUAGAGCUGAUGAAUUUGCAGAUCAAUCUCCUGGAAACCUCAGUUCUUCAUCCCUC